This 74-nucleotide transfer RNA is filed under the name Peptacetobacter hiranonis. Its description in RNAcentral is "tRNA-Arg". It matches the Rfam family "tRNA". Rfam says of the family: Transfer RNA (tRNA) molecules are approximately 80 nucleotides in length. Their secondary structure includes four short double-helical elements and three loops (D, anti-codon, and T loops). RNAcentral also lists the same sequence under 3 other names. Lineage: Bacteria; Bacillati; Bacillota; Clostridia; Peptostreptococcales; Peptostreptococcaceae. The record is from RNAcentral.
GCGCUCAUAGCUCAACCGGAUAGAGUGCCUGACUACGAAUCAGGAGGUUGCGGGUUCGAGUCCCUCUGGGCGCA